This 253-nucleotide ribosomal RNA is filed under the name uncultured bacterium. RNAcentral's name for it is "partial 16S ribosomal RNA". It matches the Rfam family "Bacterial small subunit ribosomal RNA", at positions 524 to 776 of the family's 1533-position model. The record is from RNAcentral.
UACGGAGGGUGCGAGCGUUGUCCGGAAUCACUGGGCGUAAAGGGUGCGUAGGCGGCUUUCUAAGUCUGAUGUGAAAUCCUGGGGCUCAACCCCAGAACUGCAUUGGAUACUGGAAGGCUAGAGUACUGGAGAGGAAACUGGAAUUUACGGUGUAGCAGUGAAAUGCGUAGAGAUCGUAAGGAAGACCAGUGGCGAAGGCGAGUUUCUGGACAGUAACUGACGCUGAGGCACGAAGGCCAGGGGAGCAAACGGG